UACGUAGGAUGCAAGCGUUGUCCGGAAUUACUGGGCGUAAAGGGCGCGUAGGCGGCGGGGUAAGUCUGGUGUGAAAUCUCGGAGCUCAACUCCGAAAUUGCACUGGAUACUGCUCUGCUUGAGGGUUGGAGAGGAGAUCGGAAUUCACGGUGUAGCAGUGAAAUGCGUAGAUAUCGUGAGGAAGACCAGUGGCGAAGGCGGAUCUCUGGACAAAUCCUGACGCUGAGGCGCGAAGGCUAGGGGAGCAAACAGG
Molecule: ribosomal RNA, 253 nt
Filed under: uncultured bacterium
Lineage: Bacteria
Description: partial 16S ribosomal RNA
Rfam family: Bacterial small subunit ribosomal RNA
Source: RNAcentral